RNAcentral lists this non-coding RNA (21 nucleotides) under Arabidopsis thaliana (thale cress). The record is from RNAcentral. Lineage: Eukaryota; Viridiplantae; Streptophyta; Magnoliopsida; Brassicales; Brassicaceae.
UUCUGAUGGUGUGCUUCCCGA